Catharus ustulatus (Swainson's thrush) is the source of this 1627-nucleotide long non-coding RNA. RefSeq lists it as uncharacterized. The record is from RefSeq and is a predicted model, not a curated record. The transcript is spliced from 3 exons. Lineage: Eukaryota; Metazoa; Chordata; Aves; Passeriformes; Turdidae.
GGGAACUGAUGAAUUAAUUCCUCAUUUUCCUUUGCUUGUGUGUGGAUUUUGUUUUACCUAUUAAACUGUCUUUAUCUUAACCCACGGGUUUUCUUAUAUGAUUCUCUUCCCCAUGCCAUUCCAAUGGGAAAUGGAUGAGUGUCUGAGUGGGGCUUAGUUCUGGCUGCAAUUAAAUCACAAUUGUGUGUACAUAUAUAUAUAUAUUUGGUUUUUUUUAAAUUCAAGGUUUCCUUGUGUAAUACUGUCAUAUGCUGGGAUGUCUCCAAAGCACCUACUUUAGGAUGUGAAUUAGAACAGGAAUCACUGGCAGGACCUAGAAAGCAAGUACUUUUGGAUUUCUCCCUUUCUAGGCCCUUUUCUGGUUACCGGAUUCUUGUGACACAUAAAUUUAAUCUGCAGAUGCACCCUGUUCUGGAGAACUGGGUGCCCAGGUCUUGCUGCAAGGUUGGUUGUGUGCACUGGGGAAACCUGCUGAGGCUCAGCGCUCUCCCAGCUAGAGUGGGCCUGUGAGUUCCCAGAAUGGUGUUCUCGUGAGGAAGUUUAUUUGUGUUUCCAGUGGGAAGCUGGCUCCAGCCUGUUGUGUAUUUUAGCUUACAUGACACAUGGUUAAAAACAGAUAACCCAGGAAAACAGCAUCAUAAUUCCUUUGCUAUUGCUGUUUUUCUCUGCCCCCAUAAAUCUCACAUUCUUGACAAUAGUUCUAUUCGAAGAGGAAACUCAUUGACUCACAGAACUCUCUUGGGAGAUCAGCAAUAGCUUAACCCCGGUCUGGGGAAGGGCUGGGGCAGGGGCUCUUAUGUUCCUAGGGGUGGACACAAGUUAGAAAGCUGCUGUUAGGGACAUGAGAGUUGUCACCUGCUCUAAUGUUAUAGUCAAUAGCUGAGCUACCAGGGGCUCACUCUCAGGAGAUGCUGAGCUCAGAGUCUCAGUGGAAGUGUUGGUAUAUGAACUGUGUCUGGGCACAAGGACAUCAUCCUAAAUAAUGUUGCUUCCUUUAAAAACAGCUUCAUAUACUCUGUUACAUGAUAAAACUGCUAGUACUUGGUCAGCUAAGGUGUUGUGGCUAUUUCUUUACCUGAGUGACUGCUUAUUACUGGAUUUUGAAUUAUAAGCCAGUUUGCAGAAUUCUGUUCCCAUUUAGAGUGGUUUUCAUUGAGCUACACUCUGUCAUUAAUUCCACUUCAUCAUGUUACUGAGUCACGACUGUGCAACCACACCACACAUUAACAGGAAGCUCAGAAGUUUCAGUUCACCUGAGCUGGCUGUUCCCAAGAGAUAGCUGGAUACAUGUAGGUCACUGUAUAAAGUGACAGAGUUUUAUAAUAUGUAUGUGGUUUUAAACGCUGAGUUAAAAGAGUUGCCAUGUGGUGGAAGGGUUAAUAGUGGUGCCUUUGGUGCUGUGAGGCUGUGUGCACUGACAGUCUCAAUUAUCUUUCUUUUCCUCUGGUUAACUGAGUGUUCACUGCUAUUGAUAAGUCUUAUUAAUACUUCUGUUUAUGUUUUACUGAUGUUGGCAAGAGUUUUCUGAAGAAGCAAGACUGCUGGACUGACAUCUAUUGCAGUUACAUUGACACAGGUUUUUGUGUUUUUUUGUUUUUUUGUUAAUUAGUUAAUCAAUUUGGGACUG